Long non-coding RNA from Phycodurus eques (leafy seadragon), 1441 nucleotides. RefSeq lists it as uncharacterized. The record is from RefSeq and is a predicted model, not a curated record. The transcript has 3 exons. Lineage: Eukaryota; Metazoa; Chordata; Actinopteri; Syngnathiformes; Syngnathidae.
GCCCUACCACUCCCGCAACGGGCUCUGGAGGGUGGAAGGGAGACGCUGUGGAGGGCUGGGUCAGGAUGGAAGUGGUUUUUGGGGGUGCACCAGUCUGGCCAGGGGGGAGUUCCUCUGUCCCAAGGUCUAUCAAUGAGUAACCCCUGUGAAAGCCUUGCAGACACAUGAUCUCAGCACGCCACAGAGGCCAGUGGCAGGAAACCGACCCACCAUGAAACCGGAGUACCUGGAGAAAACCCACGAAGCCACGGGGAGAACAUGCAAACUCCACACAGGCGAGGUCGGAUUUGAACCUGGGUCCUGUGAGGCACAUGUGCUAACCAGUCACCACUGUGCUGCCAGUAAAACCACACGAGAAAACCAGUUAUGGGAAAACUGCAAAAGGGAGCGACAGGACGAGCUCCUGGGUCUUCAGAACUCUUGACAAAAGCUGUUCCUUCAAUACUUUGUCCCACAGAUAUUCAUCUUACCAGUUGAAAAGUGAAGACAGCAAAAAGUUGGGGCUUGAAAAUAACUUUUCAACUACAAAGAAACACCUCACAACAGGGUAGACAAAAAGAAAGUUUAAAAGGAAAAGUGAAAUAGUAGGAAAGGAGCGACUUCCACAUUGAGGUCGCAUGUGAGAAAAAUGUAUUGUAUGUGGAUAGACCAAAUAUAGAGCUUGUGUAUUCAUUUACCAGCUACAAAAAACAUUAUCAUCUUACAGUAUGCAACAAAAAAUCAAUCGCUAUUGAAAAUGUUUUGAUAGAAGAUGAAAUAAUUUAUAAUCCCAAAGACACUAAAAUGGGGUCUUUCAAAAUUUGCAGAGCAAAAGUUUUCAUGCCACAUCCUUUUACCUUGUUGUCGCAUCUUUUAAAAGAAAGCUGACUUCAUCACUGCACCACAAGAGUUUGACAAAAAUGAACACUAAAGCUCUUGAAUCCUUUUUUUUUUGUUUGCUCAAUGGCAAAAUGAAUAAAUGAUAUUCUUGCCUUGUUUCAAGCUCAGCUAUAACACAGAGAUGUUCAGACACUUUGAGGAUGCCUAACAUUCAGAAAUAUCAGGAGGUGCUCCGCGUUUCUGUUGACGGACAGGAAGAUCAAAAACCAAACCCCUUAAAUGCUGCUGCCCUCGAGAAUAAUUUAGUUUUUUCCCCCCUCCCUUUUAAGAUCAUAGCGGAACGUGACAAUCGUGCCAUCUUUUCUGUGUGCUCUAGUUUCAUUUAUUUUGCUAAUGAUAAAGCACUGUAUUGACAACUUUCAAGGCACUUUGUCUCUUGAAUAAACAAAUAUGCACACACCCACACACACACACACAUAUAUAUAUAUAUAUAUAUAUAUAUAUAUCGGAACAUAUCUUGUGGUGAUGUUGAUGACAGCUGAUGGUUGAAAGACACGGGAAACCUAUCAAAGAUUCAAAUGAAGAUUUUGCAAAGAAGACAGGGGUGGAUGUAUGCUAAUCA